GGUGGGGGGGGGGGGGGGACAGGUGGUCUGUUCGCUGUCCCCUGCUGACCGCAGGCAGGUGAGCGGCGCAAGAGUGAGCGCCCGCUUCUGAUUUCUCGUGGCGCGGGACCCGUUUUAAAGUUCAUUUCUUUCGAGUCCGAAUCCAGGAGCUUACACAAAAUGCCAUUUGUAAGACCGAAAGAAUGAGUGAGAUGAGAUCUAGCCCGAUUCUCUUUUAUAUUACGUCCAUGCUGGGGGUUUGAGGUCUCAUGUUCGUUACUGCCGAUUCUCUCGUUAGUUCUUCGUACCCAGUUGCUCACCAGGUUCCCUGGGAUUAAAAAAAAAAAAAAAAAGAGGAGUGGCAUGGCGGUACACUUCGAGGACGUACGGUUCCGAUUUGAAUAAGUUGCCCUUAAGAUGGAAGGGAAGUGUUUGUGAUCCAAACGUUGUUUGAGGGCUCCGACUGUGUGUGUCACCGUGAUGGGUUGCUCGGCCUUAAAUGUUCGUAGGCUUUAGUGUGCGGCUGUUCUGGGGUUAGGCUAGACGGUUACGCUAGCCUUCUGCUUUCCCGUAUGUCUGCUGUUUAUACCAGUGCGUCGUGAAAACUCAGGGCCGAGUGGGAAGUGGUGUUUGUAAAAGCAGUCCCUGGGCAUCCCAGAAUGAUCUAGUUCGUCCCCAGACUGAGGCCACAGCUAUCCAGAGGGCUCUUGUGACAUGCACUUAAGAAGAGCCACCUGAGCUAGACCGAUCCCAACAGGAUGAAAUGAAAAAUAGUUACAGCACCCAGUCCUCUUGCAAGUGGCAAACCCGGGACGCGUCGGGUUGUGGCUCUGGGAUCUGUGCGGCUCUCCACUUGGUUUGGACCGAGUUCUGCACGUGAAAGAAUGCUUUGCUUCAGGAAGUUUCAGGGUCGGUUUUUAAAUGAAAAUAACCACCUUCCAAAAAAUUGUACAGAAAACUACCCCUGCGACUAGGCCCAGAAUAAAUUAGCUGUCAGUAACAAUAGCGUUCAUCUGUUGAAUGUGAUUGGAAAAUGAUGUUUGAAUCCGUUAAAAUUGACUAGAUUUAGGUAUUUCUUGAAGCUGCUUCCCGAAAGUGAUAGCGAUCAUAGGACUGAUUCUCUUCCGCUUUUGAUAAUGCUUGGUCUUAUUUCCUCUGAAGUGGGCGUUUACUCCAGACGUGGUACCAGUCUCAUUUAAUUCUGUCAGGAGAUUAUUCCCACGCCAUUCUAAUGCCACAGUGGCUUCGAAGUGCAUCUUGUGAAGGAACACGGUUACAUUGAAACCACACGUCUUAACCUGUAGGUGGGUUUUGUCCAGAAUAUCAAAAGGUGACAUGAAACAUAAGGAAAGGGAAAUGAAUAUGAACUGGGAAGUGCUGGGUGCGAGUGUGGGUGGCGGGGACAUUUUAUUCUUUCCCUCCUUUAAUCCUCAAUAUCUCAUGGCAUGGGUGUCUCUACAGAUGUAGGAAAUGAGACUGAGCACAUAGGUCGUCCUUUGGUCACACAAUGGUUGAGUGGCCGCUGUACUGUGACCCGCGCCUUUAUAGUCUCCAGGUAACCUUGAGUGCAUCAGUGCAACUGUCAUUGUUCCACGAUUGGGGAAGGGGUUUCGGUGGGGAUAAGUGGUUGCCCUUUCUGGAGAUCGUAACUUGACUUAGGCUUUAGGCCCAUCCUUUAGAGAGCAUACCCCAGGAUUUCAUGAAGUUACACAUUCUGCAACAAGUAAGGCCCAGUGCUUGACAAAAUUUUAAAAUAUUCAGUAGCGAAAGGUCUUCCAUAGGGCCUGCAUUCAAUGCUUCUAAGUUUGGGACGCCUGGGUGGCUCAGUCAGGUAAGUGUCCGACUUUGGCUCAGAUCAUGAUCUCGUGGUCUGGUGGUUCGAGGCCCACGUCGGGCUCCAUGCUGAUAGCUCAGAGCCUGGAGCCUGCUUUCGGUUCUGUGUCUCCCUCUCUCUCUCUCUGCCCCUCUCCCACUCACACUCUGUCCCUCUCUCUCUCAAAAUAAUAAAUAAAUAUUUUAAAAAGUUUUAAUACUUCUAAGUUAUCUGAGUUUAACUAGGGAGGAUUUGGGAGGUCUGCAGUGUCACGGGACUGUCUGGUUGAGCAUAAAAGCUCAUCCACUUUCAUAGUAAAACUAUCUUUACUGCUUAUAUAUAUUUAUGUUUUCAUAGCACGGACCCGGCCACUAGAAUAUAUCGCUAUAUAACUUUGCUUUAAGUUGAGUGAAGUGUGAGUUUUACCUGAAGUGCUGUUUUAGCAUUAUUUGCAAUAGCUAAACUGCAGAAGUAGCCCAAGUGUCCACCGGUUGGUGAACGGAUAAAGAGGAAAUGGUGUAUAUAUACAAGGGAAUAUUACUCGGCCAUAAAAAAGAAUGAAACCUUGCCAUUUGCAAAAACAUGGAUGGAGCUAGAGACUAUUAUACUAAAUGAAAUCAGUUAGAGAAAAAUAUCAUGUGAUUUCACUCUUAGGUGGAAUUUAAGAAACAAAACAAAUGAACAACAGGAAAAAAAAAGGCAAACCAAAAAAUGGGCUGUUAAUUACAGAGCACAUAGGGGACGUAGGUGAGAGGAUUGGUAAAGUCGGUGAAGGGAAUUAAGAGUACACUUGACGAGCACGGAGUGCUGUAUGCAAUUGUUGAAUCGGCCUGUUUUACACCUGAAACUGAUACAACACUAGUAUGUUAACUACAUGAAUGAAAAUAAAAAAAUAAAGUGCUGUUUUAAUGAUUUUUAUAGAGUUUUCUUAGUUCCUGGUAAUUUUUUUAUCAAACCAGAUGGGAAAGGAUGAUUGUAUCUUUACUGUGUUAAUUCAUUUAAUACUCAGAAGUGAAAUAAUUUGUCCAGGGUCAUACAACCAGUAAGUGGCGUCAAGUGGCUUGGAGCUAGAACCCGGGCUUUCAAAAUUAGCUGCUAUGCGGGGCGCCUGGAUGGCUCAGGCGGUUAAGCGUCCGACUUCGGCUCAGGUCGUGAUCUCGCGGUUCUUGAGUUCGAGCCCCGCGUCGGGCUCUGUGCUGACGGCUUGGAGCCUGGAGCCUGCUUCGGAUUCUGUGUGUGUGUCUCUCUUUCUCUGCCCCUUACCCGCUCAUGCUCUGUCUCUCUCUGUCUCUGAAAAAAUGAAUAAAUACUAAAAAAAAAUAAAAUAAAAUUACUAUGCAAGAAUAGUCUACUUGGUUAUCAGGAUCUGUACACUGAAGGCAGAUUUCAGUCUUAUCUGUAAUAUAUGUAUAGAAGGUAAUUUUCUGCUAAAAGGUAGCCGCAGAGGGUUCCUAAAUAUCUCAGACAAUUAAAAUGCCUGGCCCACAGGAAGACGGUUGACCAAUAGGUUAUGAGAGGCCCUCGUUCCAUCUUAGCCUCUGUAAGUUUCUAAUUUUGUAAUUCCAUACACACACGUAUGAAAUGUGUAAUUCCUGUUACAAGACGGAAUAAUAUUGAGGACAAAAGUGAGUAAGAAUUAAUCAAUCGAAGGUGGCCAUGUUACAAGGGUGAUAAGCAGAGAAAUAAGAAUCAAGUAAUUAGUCAUAUCGGUGCUUGGUGUUCAGCUGAACUCCUCUUUUUGAUUUUCUCCCAAGGCUGAUGUUUAAACAUGAAUUUAUGGGCGGAUUGCCCCAUUUUUACACUUUGGUCAAGAUGGUUAUUUCUGAGGAAAGUGCUAAUUCAGGUUCCCAGGGUUUUAUCGGGAUGUCUCAUUCAGGUCAGCUAGAGCUGUUGAUUGUAGACAUGUACCUCUUAUGUGGCAUGUAGAAGAUCUUAGAGCCCAGAGAGGUUUUAGAGAUGACCUGAUCAUUGCAUUUAUUUAGCUUAUGAAGAAACUACUGCAUGGAACAGCUGUGUGGUUUGCCCGAGGAUGGAUAUGCCUCUUUUCUCGGAGAGAAGUAUGUAGAGUAGAAGUGGAACCUCUGAGUCUAUAUAUCUGACAUUCCUGUGUCUCCUUCGUAAUUUCUUCAAAUUUAGAAUGAGGCAAGAUAAAUAGUUGAAAUAUCAACAUUGAGCGUAGCUCUUGCCACAGUUGAUUCCAGUGUUUUUUAUUGAUUUCAAAAGAACCAGCUUUUGAUUUUUCUUGAUUUUAUUUUCUAUUUCAUGGAUUUCUUGCCUGAUAUUUAUUAUUUCUUUUCUUUCUUUUACUUUGGGUUCCUUUGCUCUUUUUUCUAGUUUUUUGUUUUUUGUUUUUUUUUUUCUUUUUAGAGAGUGCGAGCAGGGGAAGGGCCGAGGGGACGGGGGAGAGAGAAUCUUAAGCAGGCUCCGUGCCCAGCAUGGAGUCCAAGGUGGGGCUCCAUCCCAUGACCCUGGGAUCAUGACCUGAACCAAACUCACGUUGGACACUCAACUGACUGAGUCACUCAGGUACGCCCACUCUUUUUCUAGUUUCUUAAUAUGGAAACUGGAGUCACUGAUUUGAGUCCUUUCUUACGUGUUUAGUCUUGGAAAUUUACUCCAGAUUCUGCUUAAUUCACAUCCCAUCAAUGUUGAUAUGUUAUACUUUCAUUUUCAUUCAGUUAAAACAAUUUUCUAAUUUCACUUUUGAUUUCAUCUUUGACCCAUGGGUCAGACUAGAACUAUGCCAGUUUGCAGUUAUUUGAAGAUUUUUCCAGGUACCUUUUGGUACUGAUUUUGAAUCAGUUCCAUGUGGUUGGAAGACAUACCUUGCAUGACACGAGUCUUUAUGUACCUGGGCUUGUUUUUUGGCCCAAAAUGUGGUCUGUGGUAGAAGCAUUUCAUCUGCAUUUGAGGAAAAUGUAUUCAGUGUUCAGUCGUGUGUUUUGCUGUUUGCCAUUAGGUAGAGUUUUCUAUUAUGUCAUAAUGUGCUGUGGAUGUCAAGGCAAGUUGGUUGACAGUGUGUUUCAGGUCUCGUAUGUUCUUGCUGAUUUGCUCUUUGUUCUAGCAAUUAAUUAUUGAGAGAGCUCUUCCUGUCCUAGCUGAGUAAAUAGUUUCAUCCUUCUCAUUUCUUGGUUGACGAAUCAUCCCGUAUCCAACUAAUCAGCAAAUCCUGGCAUUGAAUCUGCCUGCUGACCAUCACUACUGCCACUGGAUUCGUUCAAGCCACCAUAAAAUCUCUGUCUUGUGAAGCAGAUUGAAAAACAGGAUUCCAGCAAUUUGCACCUCCUUUCUUCAGGAUAGGGAGUCUUUGCCUCCCCCGUGAGUCUGGGCUUGGCAUUGUACUGGCUUUGAUAAAUAGAAUGUGAUAGAAGUGACGUGUGAGAUUUGGACCCGAGGCAUCAAGACGGCAUGCCUCUCCUGUCUCUGCUCUUUGAAACCGGUUGCCUUAAGGGAGGUCAGACUCUAUGGAGAGAGAGGCCCAGCCAAGAUGAGCUAAGUGCCAGAGGCCUUGAUGUGUGAAUGAGACCAUCUUAGACUCUCCUGCCCCAGCGGAGCUGCCAGUUGACUGUAACGAGCAGGAGAACAGUCCAGCUGAUCACGGCCUGAACUGCUAACCCCCAUGAUUCCUGGAAAUAAUACAUGGUGGUUUUUUGAA
Molecule: long non-coding RNA, 5447 nt
Organism: Panthera uncia (snow leopard)
Lineage: Eukaryota; Metazoa; Chordata; Mammalia; Carnivora; Felidae
Exons: 2
Source: RefSeq, a predicted model, not a curated record